Molecule: long non-coding RNA, 559 nt
Filed under: Rattus norvegicus (Norway rat)
Lineage: Eukaryota; Metazoa; Chordata; Mammalia; Rodentia; Muridae
Description: long non-coding RNA NONRATT006884
Source: RNAcentral
CCUCUGUAGAGGAAGAAGCCCUUGACAUUCCACAGCGACCAUGAGGACCAUACUUUGUCCGAUUUGCUGUAAAAUGAGUCCCUACCAUAUGCGGUCUUUACUUCUCCCCUUGCUCAAUCAGAUUUCAUCCCACCCUGCUCCUUCCCCACUUCUCUAGACUGGAGAUCUUACGGAACAGCAACCACUGACCUUCAGUGUUCCACAGAUGCAAGGACUGAAGUGCUGGGACUGCUGGAGUGCAUCAAGGGCCCAGUCCUACAGCAUCCCACCCUGCAGCGUCUCCACAGGGAAACUCUGGGGCAUCCGAGAGGAGUGUCCGUGAGGAUCCAGUAUUGAUGGUACAGCUGUCGUCAGAGGCCUCAAACCAAUGACUCACUGCAAUGAACAUUGGCAAGCAAAGACGUGUGGACAAAAGGGUGUGCUGUGUGAUACACUGUCACACUACAGCUUCCGUGACGAGAUUUUUUUUUCUUUUGUGGGAGAACCUUUCUUUUUUCUUUUCAAGAGUGGAAGGUAGGUGCACAGGGCCAGGGAGAUGGGUGGGAUUGGGACAUGAUGU